UGGGGAAUAUUGGACAAUGGGCGAAAGCCUGAUCCAGCCAUGCCGCGUGUGUGAAGAAGGUCUUCGGAUUGUAAAGCACUUUAAGUUGGGAGGAAGGGCAGUUACCUAAUACGUGAUUGUUUUGACGUUACCGACAGAAUAAGCACCGGCUAACUCUGUGCCAGCAGCCGCGGUAAUACAGAGGGUGCAAGCGUUAAUCGGAAUUACUGGGCGUAAAGCGCGCGUAGGUGGUUUGUUAAGUUGGAUGUGAAAUCCCCGGGCUCAACCUGGGAACUGCAUUCAAAACUGACUGACUAGAGUAUGGUAGAGGGUGGUGGAAUUUCCUGUGUAGCGGUGAAAUGCGUAGAUAUAGGAAGGAACACCAGUGGCGAAGGCGACCACCUGGACUGAUACUGACACUGAGGUGCGAAAGCGUGGGGAGCAAACAGGAUUAGAUACCCCGGUAGUCCCUGAGCGGGCUGGCAAGGCGCAU
RNAcentral lists this ribosomal RNA (472 nucleotides) under uncultured bacterium. RNAcentral's name for it is "bacterial SSU rRNA". It matches the Rfam family "Bacterial small subunit ribosomal RNA", at positions 355 to 825 of the family's 1533-position model. The record is from RNAcentral.